UGAAUUAGUCUGACUUGGAAACAAAGCAUUCAUUUGAUUGUCUGACUAAAUUCAGUGAACUAACCACAUUUUGCUAAACUGUAGACUGGCUAUCUACAAGGUUUUAAGGAAGCCUGUCUUGCUGAUUUUUGAGGUAGUGAAAUUCUCUAUUACUCUGACCCAGGCAUCCUGCUAUCAUCUUUACUGGUGGAAAAUUGAGAAAUGCCUCAAUCACAAAACACUGCAGUGUCAGUCUAAUAUAAAUAGUUUGCAAUUUGGAAGUAUUUGUUGAGAAACUGAUUCCUUUGGAAAUAUAACCAUGUAACUGUCUUUGAGAAAAUGGCACAGAAAAAUGUUAGAAUAUGACUGAAAAAUGUGAAACUGUGAUUAAAGAAAAUGCAUAUAAGUCCUUUACCCUUUUCAAAUGUUCAUCUCUUUGUUAUUACCUCGGCUAAUUUUUUAAAACCUUACAAAGAAUCAAGUUACAACAAAGGUACAGAUACAUAAGCAUAUUUUAUAUGUACACCGAAAGAUUCUCUAUUAAAAUAACAAUUUACAAUGAAAAACAUGGAAAAUAACGAGAUUUUAAAAACCAGAAUCGUAACCUAUCUUAAAAGGUUCGGAUAAGCAGAUUGGUUGGCUAAAUGCUCUGCAAGUAGUCUUCAAUUUUUUAUCUAGCUAUUUAUAGAAAGCUGCAGAAACAGCUGAGCUGACUGAAGUGAUGUCACAUUUGCUGAUGGAAUGGUUUGUUCCAGAGCACGCUCAGAGGCUGCAUGAGUCUACUUAAGGUUUGGUACGCAACCCUAAGCAGCGAGAAGGUGUAAACAUGGGCAUUUUUCAGCCCCACCAAUCAAUAUUGCAUUGAUGACUUUCCACUGACCUUUAACCCCAUGAGGAAUACCAAUAGCACCGUACUGAAUCUUCCCGUCUUCGAGGGCUGCCUAGCAAAAGCUACCAAUUUUACAAUCGAUCAAAAGUCAUCUCUGUGAAUAAAGCUUGAGAUUUCAGGCAACAGCAAGCAAUUUUUGAAAGGUCAGGGCUGAGUUUUUAUUUCCUUGACCUGUGCUUUCAACUUAUAUCAUAGUUCUUUAUAACCACUAAAAGUAGUACGAAAAUUUCAGAUUUUUCCCCAUGUAUUUUUAGUAAGCCUUUGGGCAUUUUCACUGUCCCUAAAAGAAUAUGGUUGCAUGGCAACCUUCACAGUUGCUAUGGAGACUCCAUGUGUAAGCAGCUGCUGCAAUCAGCAUUAACUCCAGGCUUGCAGGUUUGUCAUUCCAAUACAUAGGGAGGGGGAAACAAAUAGGACAGCACAUUGCCGUAAAGGGGAAGUCACCUAGAUAAUGUCACUCACAAACAUAUGUUCCACAAUUAUUCUUUCCACUGUUUUAUUGCUGCAAUUAUAGCUAAACUAAGAUUACAAAAUUAUAUGGUUUUAAUUUGCCUCUAUUGACUAUGUUUCACUUCCAUUAAAAUUAAGUCUGAACCCAUUUACGUAGAAAACCGUUGGCUUUCCGGAAAAAAAAUUUUUCUUGCUUUCUCACUUAAUGUCAACAGGAAAAAAAAAUUAAUGCCCAUAGAAAUCUUUGUAUGAAGCAAGCAACUUAGCCAAAAUAUAAACUAACCUAACAGGUAAAGCACAACCCCCAUCCCAAAAUUCCAUCUGUAUUUCUAAUAUUUUCAAUUGUGUCAGAAUACACCACAAAGAUGCCUCAGAUGACACUGAUCUGAGUCUUUAAAAUGUAAGCAGAAAUGCCAGUUAAGCCAUCUUAAGCCUCUAUCCUCAACCCAUCCCAUCAAGCUUAAAUAUUGCAGCAUGUGAUCCCCAAAUCAAAGUCCUUAAAAAGGAAACUCAAGAACAGAGAUGGUACGAAAAUUGUCGUUGAUAUUUCUUUCAAACUAACGGUUAAUCUAACCCUCAUGAGCCUGGAUAUUGCAACAAUCUUGGAUACCACAAUGACUGAUAAAUUUAUUCUGUAAAAGACAGGCACAGGCAUAACAUUAUUAAUUUAGAAAUCAUUUACAAUAUAACAUUAGUCAGCCAGAUUUUUGCAAAUAUAGGUUAAACCUCACCCAAACAAUAAUCCUUUACUACUCUUAUUCUAAUAUUUCAGUGUCUUAUUUGGAGAUAUAAUACUUCAUAGAAAGCUAACAAUCAUCACUAAAAAUCAGUAUUUUACUUAAGGGCAAUGUAACCAUUUGCUUUCUAAUUUAUAGGACAUAAUACUCACUAGCAGACAAGCAAAUAAGUAGUUUUCAUUGUAUUUAAUUAGAUUCAAGUGGCAGCACAGUGAUUUUGCUCUACAAUAUAGAAUGGUCACCUUUUGUAUUUUCAACUUUUAGAUUUUUUUUUAAGAAUCAUGAAUCCACAAAAUAAAAGAUUUAUCAAAUAUACUUCUGCUCUUAUAUAUAAAUUGCUGACAUGGAGCUGUGUUAAAAUGAAGCCCUUUGUAAAACUUUUAAGAUAAAUAUAAGUGGUAUUAACUUUUAAUAAUCAUAUCUAAAACAAUCAU
This 2489-nucleotide long non-coding RNA is filed under the name Sus scrofa (pig). Its description in RNAcentral is "lncRNA (ENSSSCG00050015092.1)". The record is from RNAcentral. Lineage: Eukaryota; Metazoa; Chordata; Mammalia; Artiodactyla; Suidae.